CUUGAAUCAGUGGACAAGAUGGCGACGCCCAGUGAACUAUCUCUCGAGGAGAUUCGUAAAUAUCUAUUAGAAAACGGUGGUACGGCGCGUAAUCAUGAUGUUGUCAAGUAUUUCAAGAAAUUUUUAACUGAUCCUGAAACAAGAGUGGAAGCACGAAAUCGAUUCAAGGAGUACGUGAAUACUCUGGCCACCAUAAAGAACGAGGAGGGUGAAAAAUAUUUGGUGUUGAAGAAAAAGUAUCGUCAAGCAUCAUUGGAUCUUUCCAAUCCCGAGAAUGUAAAUUCAACUCAUACAUCACCUAAUUCACCUCAACGAGAACCUCCCCCUUAUCGAGCACCCCCACCUGCACCCUUAAGUCCCACCUCUACUAAUACUCAAGAAUCAAAUCGUGAAAACGACGCGCAUACGAAUUUUGAAAGUGACAUAGAAACGAGAAAACAAAUUCAUUCUGACGAAGCCGUUUCAUCGAGUGCAUCUUCACCUCCCGUACCACCUCGUCGUAAGGGUCAGGACAAAAUCAGGAUGGAUAGUAAAGAAAAUAUCGAGAAGAGCAAAACUGGAACCGAUGGAGUUAAUAAAGAAGAUGAAAUCAUCACUGCUGCUAAUCCUGGAUCCGGUGAAGAAUUGAGCUUCCGUGAACGGAUGCAACGUUUUGAUCGGAUGGCUAAUGAAACUGAUCUACAUGGCAGACCUAACGGUACUACAACGCCUACUAAAAAACGAUCUGAAAAGGGUGCGGACGAAGAAGACAGUGCUUCCGUUGCUUGGCAAUUAGAUGGAAAAUCACGAGAAUGGUUGGUGAAAGCUGCUCAAGGAGAUUAUCACGAAAUGGCGAAAUUGGCUGCUGUGGAACCACGUCUUACUGGAUUAAAGGAUCCAACAUCUGGCACGGCUUUGCAUUGGGCUGCGAAACAUGGCGACGAGAACAUCGUCAAAAUGAUUGCUGGCACCUACAGGGAAUACGUCAAGGACGUUAACGUUACAACCAAUGGGGGUUAUACGCCAUUGCACAUUGCUAUGCAAUUCGAUCAUGAAAACGUUUUCAACUUACUAGUACAAGUAUACGGUGCGAAUCAAGAGAUACGUGAUUACAGUGGUAAGAAAGCAAGACAGUAUUUAGUUUCUCAAGAGGCCGCAGUUAGCCAGGACACCUUCCGCAGGAUUACUGCUGCUGCUACGCUCAGAAAUAAAAGCAAGGAAAAAGCAUGCAGAGAAAGAUCUUGGUUUCCUACGAAUUGGCUCGUUGAACGUACGCGUGAAACGUACGACGGAAGCAUUCAGCCAAUUUCUGGGUGUGGCAACUAGUAGCAGCAACAGCAACAACAAUAGCGAGAAGAUUCAUAAGUCAUGGGGUUCAGCGGAUAACGUACAGAAAUUAGAUCAAAAGGUAAUGCCACCGCCAAAAUAUGCGCCAGUUAAAAAACGAA
Molecule: unclassified non-coding RNA, 1427 nt
Filed under: Polistes fuscatus (common paper wasp)
Lineage: Eukaryota; Metazoa; Arthropoda; Insecta; Hymenoptera; Vespidae
Description: ankyrin repeat domain-containing protein SOWAHB, transcript variant X1
Source: RNAcentral